AGAGAGAGAGAGAGAGAGAGAGAGAGAGAGAGAGAGAGAGAGAGUUGGACUGGGCUACUAUUAGUAGCAAAAUCCCAUUAUUGCUAUCAGUUUUUUAGCCUUUGGAUCAACUCUUUUCAUUAUUUCUAACCAUUGGAUUAAAUACUAUAACCCAGUGGGGACCACUCAAUCCUAGGGGGACCACUCAACUCUAACCGACUAAUAUCAUCCUGACCCUAUAAUUUUUCAUCCAAAGAUUAAAAACUUGAUAGCAAAAAGAGCGUUUUACUAUUAAUAGUAUUUUAGCCUAUAUA
This 293-nucleotide long non-coding RNA is filed under the name Ananas comosus (pineapple). Its description in RNAcentral is "long non-coding RNA (ACOM_LNC037459)". Lineage: Eukaryota; Viridiplantae; Streptophyta; Magnoliopsida; Poales; Bromeliaceae. The record is from RNAcentral.